Molecule: ribosomal RNA, 727 nt
Filed under: uncultured bacterium
Lineage: Bacteria
Description: bacterial SSU rRNA
Rfam family: Bacterial small subunit ribosomal RNA
Source: RNAcentral
GAGAUGAGGGGCUUGCACCUAUUUUAGCGGCGGAGCGGGUGAUGAAUGCUAAGGAAUCUGCCUAUUAGUGGGGGACAACAUUCCGAAAGGAAUGCUAAUACCGCAUACGUCCUACGGGAGAAACAGGGGAUNUUCGGACCUUGCGCUAAUAGAUGAGCCUAAGUCGGAUUAGCUAGUUGGUGGGGUAAAGCCCUACCAAGGCGACGAUCUGUAGCGGGUCUGAGAGGAUGAUCCGCCACGCUGGGACUGAGACACGGCCCAGACUCNUACGGGAGGCAGCAGUGGGGAAUAUUGGACAAUGGGGGGAACCCUGAUCCAGCCAUGCCGCGUGUGUGAAGAAGGCCUUAUGGUUGUAAAGCACUUUAAGCGAGGAGGAGGCUACUGAGACUAAUACUCUUGGAUAGUGGACGUUACUCGCAGAAUAAGCACCGGCUAACUCUGUGCCUGCAGCCGCGGUAAUACAGAGGGUGCGAGCGUUAAUCGGAUUUACUGGGCGUAAAGCGUGCGUAGGCGGCUUUUUAAGUCGGAUGUGAAAUCCCCGAGCUUAACUUGGGAAUUGCAUUCGAUACUGGGAAGCUAGAGUAUGGGAGAGGAUGGUAGAAUUCCAGGUGUAGCGGUGAAAUGCGUAGAGAUCUGGAGGAAUACCGAUGGCGAAGGCAGCCAUCUGGCCUAAUACUGACGCUGAGGUACGAAAGCAUGGGGAGCAAACAGGAUUAGAUACCCUGGU